UCGAACGCCCGUAGCAAUACGGGAGUGGCAGACGGGUGAGUAACGCGUGGGAAUCUCCCCAAAGGUACGGAACAACUCAGGGAAACUUGAGCUAAUACCGUAUGUGCCCGAGAGGGCAAAGAUUUAUCGCCUUUGGAUGAGCCCGCGUUGGAUUAGCUAGUUGGUGGGGUAAUGGCCUACCAAGGCGACGAUCCAUAGCUGAUCUGAGAGGAUGAUCAGCCACACUGGGACUGAGACACGGCCCAGACUCCUACGGGAGGCAGCAGUGGGGAAUCUUGGACAAUGGGCGAAAGCCUGAUCCAGCCAUGCCGCGUGAGUGAAGAAGGCCUUAGGGUUGUAAAGCUCUUUUGCCCGGGAAGAUAAUGACGGUACCGGGAGAAUAAGCCCCGGCAAACUUCGUGCCAGCAGCCGCGGUAAUACGAAGGGGGCUAGCGUUG
RNAcentral lists this ribosomal RNA (437 nucleotides) under uncultured bacterium. Its description in RNAcentral is "bacterial SSU rRNA". It matches the Rfam family "Bacterial small subunit ribosomal RNA", at positions 62 to 543 of the family's 1533-position model. The record is from RNAcentral.